UGGGGAAUUUUGGACAAUGGGCGCAAGCCUGAUCCAGCAAUGCCGCGUGAGUGAAGAAGGCCUUCGGGUUGUAAAGCUCUUUUGUCAGGGAAGAAACGGUUCUGGCUAAUACCUGGAGCUAAUGACGGUACCUGAAGAAUAAGCACCGGCUAACUACGUGCCAGCAGCCGCGGUAAUACGUAGGGUGCGAGCGUUAAUCGGAAUUACUGGGCGUAAAGCGUGCGCAGGCGGUUUUGUAAGUCUGACGUGAAAUCCCCGGGCUUAACCUGGGAAUUGCGUUGGAGACUGCAAGGCUGGAGUCUGGCAGAGGGGGGUAGAAUUCCACGUGUAGCAGUGAAAUGCGUAGAGAUGUGGAGGAACACCGAUGGCGAAGGCAGCCCCCUGGGUCAAGACUGACGCUCAUGCACGAAAGCGUGGGGAGCAAACA
This 427-nucleotide ribosomal RNA is filed under the name uncultured Massilia sp. RNAcentral describes it as "bacterial SSU rRNA". It matches the Rfam family "Bacterial small subunit ribosomal RNA", at positions 355 to 774 of the family's 1533-position model. Lineage: Bacteria; Pseudomonadati; Pseudomonadota; Betaproteobacteria; Burkholderiales; Oxalobacteraceae. The record is from RNAcentral.